Molecule: ribosomal RNA, 253 nt
Filed under: uncultured bacterium
Lineage: Bacteria
Description: partial 16S ribosomal RNA
Rfam family: Bacterial small subunit ribosomal RNA
Source: RNAcentral
UACAGGGGGGGCAAGCGUUGUUCGGAAUUACUGGGCGUAAAGGGCUCGUAGGCGGCCAACUAAGUCAGACGUGAAAUCCCCCGGCUUAACCAGGGAACUGCGUCUGAUACUGGAUGGCUUGAGUUUGGGAGAGGGAUGCGGAAUUCCAGGUGUAGCGGUGAAAUGCGUAGAUAUCUGCAGGAACGCCGAUGGUGAAGGCGGUCCGCUGGGCAUGUCCUGACGCUGAGGCACGAAAGCGUGGGGAGCAAACAGG